Molecule: ribosomal RNA, 370 nt
Filed under: uncultured Glomeromycotina
Lineage: Eukaryota; Fungi; Glomeromycota
Description: SSU rRNA
Rfam family: Eukaryotic small subunit ribosomal RNA
Source: RNAcentral
AGCAGCCGCGGUAAUUCCAGCUCCAAUAGCGUAUAUUAAAGUUGUUGCAGUUAAAAAGCUCGUAGUUGAAUUUCGGGGUCAAUACGUCGGUCGUGCUUCGGUACGCACUGACGAUAUUGGCCCUCCCUUCUGACGAACCGUGAUGUCAUUAAUUUGGUGUUGCGGGGAAUCAGGACUGUUACCUUAGAAAAAUUAGAGUGUUUAAAGCAGGCGAUCGCUCGAAUACAUUAGCAUGGAAUAAUGAAAUAGGACGUUCGAACCUAUUUUGUUGGUUUCUAGGAUCGACGUAAUGAUUAAUAGGGAUAGUUGGGGGCAUUAGUAUUCAAUUGUCAGAGGUGAAAUUCUUGGAUUUAUUGAAGACUAACUACUG